UCCAAAUCCACACGGUCAUCAUGGGCAAA
RNAcentral lists this non-coding RNA (29 nucleotides) under Homo sapiens (human). The record is from RNAcentral. Lineage: Eukaryota; Metazoa; Chordata; Mammalia; Primates; Hominidae.